This 293-nucleotide ribosomal RNA is filed under the name uncultured bacterium. RNAcentral's name for it is "partial 16S ribosomal RNA". It matches the Rfam family "Archaeal small subunit ribosomal RNA", at positions 455 to 747 of the family's 1478-position model. The record is from RNAcentral.
UUGCCAGCAGCCGCGGUAAUACCGGCAGCCCGAGUGAUGGCCGAUCUUAUUGGGCCUAAAGCGUCCGUAGCUGGCUGCGCAAGUCCGUCGGGAAAUCCACUCGCCCAACGAGUGGCCGUCCGGUGGAAACUCCACACCUUGGGACCGGAAGGCUCGAAGGGUACGGCCGGGGUAGGAGUGAAAUCCUGUAAUCCCGUCCGGACCACCGAUGGCGAAAGCACUUCGAGAAAACGGAUCCGACAGUGAGGGACGAAAGCCAGGGUCUCCAACCGGAUUAGAAACCCGGGUAGUCC